UACAGAGGUCUCAAGCGUUGUUCGGAUUCAUUGGGCGUAAAGGGUGCGUAGGUGGCGUCGUAAGUCAGGUGUGAAAUUUCGGAGCUUAACUUCGAAACUGCAUUUGAUACUGCGGUGCUUGAGGACUGGAGAGGAGACUGGAAUUUACGGUGUAGCGGUGAAAUGCGUAGAUAUCGUAAGGAAGACCAGUGGCGAAGGCGGGUCUCUGGACAGUUCCUGACGCUGAGGCACGAAGGUCAGGGGAGCAAACGGG
Molecule: ribosomal RNA, 253 nt
Filed under: uncultured bacterium
Lineage: Bacteria
Description: partial 16S ribosomal RNA
Rfam family: Bacterial small subunit ribosomal RNA
Source: RNAcentral